This 468-nucleotide ribosomal RNA is filed under the name uncultured bacterium. Its description in RNAcentral is "partial 16S ribosomal RNA". It matches the Rfam family "Bacterial small subunit ribosomal RNA", at positions 28 to 507 of the family's 1533-position model. The record is from RNAcentral.
GACGAACGCUGGCGGCGUGCUUAACACAUGCAAGUCGAACGGAAAGGCCCUGCUUUUGUGGGGUGCUCGAGUGGCGAACGGGUGAGUAACACGUGAGUAACCUGCCCUUGACUUUGGGAUAACUUCAGGAAACUGGGGCUAAUACCGGAUAGGAGCUCCUGCUGCAUGGUGGGGGUUGGAAAGUUUCGGCGGUUGGGGAUGGACUCGCGGCUUAUCAGCUUGGUGGUGGGGUAGUGGCUUACCAAGGCUUUGACGGGUAGCCGGCCUGAGAGGGUGACCGGGCACCAUGGGAAUGGGGGAGGGCCCAGUGGGCAACGGGGGGCAAGAGGCGGGAACAUUACCCAACGGGCGGAAGCCUGAUGCAGCAACGCCGCGUGCGGGAUGACGGCCUGCGGGUUGUAAACCGCUUUCGCCUGUGACGAAGCGUGAGUGACGGUAAUGGGUAAAGAAGCACCGGCUAACUACGUG